CCAAAGGCUCUUUUCAGAGCCACCUCAUUCUUACUUAAAAGAUCAA
Danio rerio (zebrafish) is the source of this 46-nucleotide non-coding RNA. The record is from Rfam. Lineage: Eukaryota; Metazoa; Chordata; Actinopteri; Cypriniformes; Danionidae.